RNAcentral lists this transfer RNA (73 nucleotides) under Atopobium minutum 10063974. It matches the Rfam family "tRNA". From Rfam's summary of the family: Transfer RNA (tRNA) molecules are approximately 80 nucleotides in length. Their secondary structure includes four short double-helical elements and three loops (D, anti-codon, and T loops). The record is from Rfam by way of RNAcentral. Lineage: Bacteria; Bacillati; Actinomycetota; Coriobacteriia; Coriobacteriales; Atopobiaceae.
GGGCCGUUAGCUCAGUUGGUAGAGCAGGGGACUUUUAAUCCCAAGGUCGUGGGUUCGACCCCCACACGGCCCA